Molecule: transfer RNA, 71 nt
Filed under: Clostridium sp. CAG:307
Lineage: Bacteria; Bacillati; Bacillota; Clostridia; Eubacteriales; Clostridiaceae
Rfam family: tRNA
About the family: Transfer RNA (tRNA) molecules are approximately 80 nucleotides in length.
Source: Rfam by way of RNAcentral
GCCCUUAUAGUUCAUCGGUAGAACGCAGCCAUGGUAAGGCUGAAAGGUAAGUCCGACUCUUACUAGGGGCA